GGAUGUGAGGGCAAUCUGGCUGUGACAUCUGUCACCCAGAGUUGAUUCAGCUGAUCUGGCUGGCUAGGCAGGUGUCCUCUUCCUCCCUUAUUGCUCCAUGUGCAUCCCUCCUGAAGUUGUGAGCUAAACUGUGCUCUCCUGCUAAAGCUUCCAAACCAGCUCUCAAAAUUGUGGUCUCCAUCUACAGGGGAAAAACUUCAUGAACUGUGAAACAAUAUUGAAGAUCUUUCUUU
Molecule: small nuclear RNA, 233 nt
Filed under: Erinaceus europaeus (western European hedgehog)
Lineage: Eukaryota; Metazoa; Chordata; Mammalia; Eulipotyphla; Erinaceidae
Description: 7SK RNA
Rfam family: 7SK RNA
About the family: 7SK was discovered as an abundant small nuclear RNA in the mid-70s but a possible function has only recently been suggested. Two independent studies have found that 7SK RNA binds the CDK9/cyclin T complex (known as elongation factor P-TEFb).
Source: Rfam by way of RNAcentral